RNAcentral lists this ribosomal RNA (497 nucleotides) under uncultured bacterium. Its description in RNAcentral is "partial 16S ribosomal RNA". It matches the Rfam family "Bacterial small subunit ribosomal RNA", at positions 28 to 507 of the family's 1533-position model. The record is from RNAcentral.
GAUGAACGCUGGCGGCGUGCCUAAUACAUGCAAGUCGAGCGAACGGACGAGAAUCUUGCUUUUCUGAUGUUAGCGGCGGACGGGUGAGUAACACGUGUAUAACCUACCUAUAAGACUGGGAUAACUUCGGGAAACCGGAGCUAAUACCGGAGAAUAUUUUGAACCGCAUGGUUCAAAAGUGAAAGACGGUCUUGCUGUCACUUAUAGAUGGAUCCGCGCUGCAUUAGCUAGUUGGGAAGGUAACGGCUUACCAAGGCAACGAUGCAUAGCCGAACUGAGAGGGUGAUCGGCGACCCUGGAACGGGGACACGGUCCAGACUCCUACGGGAGGCAGCAGUAGGGAAUCUUCCGCAGUGGGCGAAAGCCUGGCGGAGCAACGCCGCGUGAGUGAUGAAGGUCUUCGGAUCGUAAAACUCUGUUAUUAGGGAAGAACAUAUGUGUAAGUAACUGUGCACAUCUUGACGGUACCUAAUCAGAAAGCAACGGCUAACUACGUG